This 444-nucleotide ribosomal RNA is filed under the name Bacillus mycoides. RNAcentral's name for it is "bacterial SSU rRNA". It matches the Rfam family "Bacterial small subunit ribosomal RNA", at positions 348 to 783 of the family's 1533-position model. Lineage: Bacteria; Bacillati; Bacillota; Bacilli; Caryophanales; Bacillaceae. The record is from RNAcentral.
GCAGCAGUAGGGAAUCUUCCGCAAUGGACGAAAGUCUGACGGAGCAACGCCGCGUGAGUGAUGAAGGCUUUCGGGUCGUAAAACUCUGUUGUUAGGGAAGAACAAGUGCUAGUUGAAUAAGCUGGCACCUUGACGGUACCUAACCAGAAAGCCACGGCUAACUACGUGCCAGCAGCCGCGGUAAUACGUAGGUGGCAAGCGUUAUCCGGAAUUAUUGGGCGUAAAGCGCGCGCAGGUGGUUUCUUAAGUCUGAUGUGAAAGCCCACGGCUCAACCGUGGAGGGUCAUUGGAAACUGGGAGACUUGAGUGCAGAAGAGGAAAGUGGAAUUCCAUGUGUAGCGGUGAAAUGCGUAGAGAUAUGGAGGAACACCAGUGGCGAAGGCGACUUUCUGGUCUGUAACUGACACUGAGGCGCGAAAGCGUGGGGAGCAAACAGGAUUAGAU